Long non-coding RNA from Saccostrea cuccullata (small rock oyster), 431 nucleotides. RefSeq lists it as uncharacterized. The record is from RefSeq and is a predicted model, not a curated record. The transcript has 4 exons. NCBI's taxonomy places the organism in Eukaryota, Metazoa, Mollusca, Bivalvia, Ostreida, Ostreidae.
AGUGGUUCUGUUCAAUACAAAGCAAGCAAUUUUCGUAUAGCAGCUUUAACUCUACCAAGAAUCUCAGUGCAAAAAUUACAACAAAAUCCACUCACUCUGAAAUUGACUGCCGAAAACGGAAAAAUUAGCGGAAAAUUUGACUUUGGGUUCAGAUAUAAAACAUCGCUACCUCGGCAUACAGAUGAUGGAUAUGUAACUUACAGUGCAAGUAAAAUUGGAAUGGAAGUAAAAAUAACAGCAGAUUUGGCCAAUAAGUCCCUUCAGGUUAAAAGUUGCAGUAGCCCCCGUACUCCUAUACGCAUGAAAUUCCAUGGAACUGGAACGGGAUGGAGUUGGAUUUAUAAUCUUUUAAAAGGAAUACUAGAAAGAAAACUAGAAAAAAGAUUACCUGGUCCUAAAGGCGUGGUAGGUAUCGUUUACUUUUAUGACAA